Molecule: non-coding RNA, 2425 nt
Organism: Struthio camelus australis
Lineage: Eukaryota; Metazoa; Chordata; Aves; Struthioniformes; Struthionidae
Source: RefSeq, a predicted model, not a curated record
UCCCUUCGUCCGAGCGAUCGGGGUUGCUUGCACCGGGAGGAAGACGAGAAUUCAUGUAGAAGAAAGGAGGAGUUUGGUGCUGUGAAACUGGAUGAGGCAGACAGUUGACUUGCAGUCCUCUGACAACAAAAAGCUUUGGAAAGUUUGAAAACUUUUAUUAUAGUGAUUGUUGUAAAUAGUAUGUAUACAAUGAAAUCAGCAUGUAAUGUCCUCCUGUGCUAUAUCUAUAGUGCCCACUGUGCUGGUGCAAAUACACCAUGCUUUAAAAUCAAGGAGGAUGUGGGGGAGGAGGGCAGUUUGGUUCAUGAACUUUUGUGGGAGGUUAUUUCUUUUCUGAUCAGACAGAGGAAAAGUUGGCUGUUUCCUUGUUGAUAAAAGCUUCACUGUGGUGCAAGAAGAUAAACUGAAACAUACAAAAAGAGCUAUAUUAAUUUUCUCCAAAUAUUGCUGAAGGAAUAAUGGAAAUCUGUGUCUGUGGCUACUGAGGUGUUUGAGAAAGGGAAGGUUUGGAAGCAGGUUUUGCCGCAAGAUUAACAGCGCUGAGCUGUUCUGUAUAGAAUUUCAGUGGGUGAGUGAGCAAUUCAGAUUAGUCAAGUGCUGCAUUGUUAGAGGACUUCAGUGUUUCAGUAUUUGUUGAAAACACAAGAAAUCCAUUACCCUUGUGAAUACAGGAAUAAGCAGCUGGAUUUACAAAUAAGCAUACAUUCAAAACUGAGUUCUGAAAUGUGAAAAGCAAAGGUCACUUAAAUCUGGAUACUGUGAUCUAUGAGAAAGUAUAGUUUGCUACAACUCCUUUUUCCUUCCUCUGUUAUUUUUAAACAGCAGUUUAUACUGCAGGCCCAUUAUGUGUAGGAGCACGUAUGUCUGUGUGUCUGAGCACUUUGAGAUCAAGAUGUAUGAGGACAUCUCCAGAGAUAUGGAUACAUCGGGUCUCCUGAGUACUGCCCUGGCUUUCUUUAUAACUUCUGCUUUCAGUUCCUUACAGCCAAUUCCAAAAUGUGCAACUCAGCAUCAACUCUCCAUACUUAAUCUUGUUACAUUAGUGAUUUUCUUUGAGAGAGCAGCACUAAAAUUAAUUCAGCUAUUUUUAAAUUCAUCAGGCAAGAGGGGAGUGAGAUAGAACUAGUUUGACCUAAAUAAUUGUUACUCUGUUUUUCCUGUGCAUAGUUAUAAGAAUAGCUGUUUUAAAAUUUACCAGCCCAUUCAUAGAUUAUAAAGGUCAAAAAGCUUUAAAGUGAUCAUGAAGCUGAGGCAUCUUCAUGUCACAUCCCUGGCCUAAUUCCUACAAGAACUGGAAUAAUCCUCUAGAACAACUCCUAACCUACCUGAAACACUCCAGUAAUGUUUUGGUAAGUUGGUUCAGUGGUUAGUUGCUCUUGCUAUUAAAAAAUCUGCAUCCGAUUUCUAAUCCCCAGUUUCUCCACUGUUGCCUUCAACGAUCACAUUUUGCUUAUUAGAUCAAAGAGCUUUUUUCUUUUAUAAUUUUCUGUGUAGGUGCUUGGAGACUGCUUGUUCCUGAAUCUCCUCUGCAGCAGAUUGAAUAGGUUGAGCUUUUGUCUUUUGCUGUAUGGUAGGAUUUUUACUCCUUUGAUGCUCUUGUGGACCUUGUGAACAGUCCCCAGUUUUUUUUCUGCAUCUCUAAGUUCUGGACAAGAAGUCAGGUCGUAGUGGUCCAUCAGGAAUCAUGCCAUGCUACAUACACAAAUCAAAUGAAUGCCUUUCUACUUCACGUUUCUCUCUUCCUAGUAUUAUAGCAGUUCUUUUAGCCUCAGUGUUGCACUGGAGGGUGAUUAUUCAGCUAACAGUCAUUCAAAUCUUUUUCAGAAUCACUGCUUCUAAAGGUGUCCUCUGUCCCAUAAUGUUGCCCUGCUUGCCUCUGACCCUCCUUAGCUGAGUGAAAUCCACGCGUCCUUAGCCCGAAGUACCUACUGCUGAACAUACUGUUCAUGAUAGAAUACAUUUAUAGACCACAGUAAGUGAGAGUUACAAAAUUGCAUCACUAAGAGAGGCUCCCCUUUGUGUCUUCAGCGCAAUUGCUGCUCACAGAAUAGAAGAGUUCUGGUUUAUAUCUCCCUUGCUGCAACAUGCGGCGUGCGCAGAGCCUAACAGCCAAGGAGUGUCUGCAGAGUAGUGAAGCCGGCUUGGCAUGUGGCCGUCUAUUGGCAAACAUGGCAAUUUACUUUCCAGGUGGUCCCUUGCUAGGAAAUGAAUGAAGUAAUGUAGAUUAAAAGAAUCAGCCGGAGCUUUCUCCUUCCCAAAUUUAAGCUGAACUCCAGAGCUUUUCAGAAGCUGGGAACUGUUCAGUUGCACUUAAUUUCUUGUCUGUUUUGCAGCUGCCUCAGCAGGUACAGGUUCCAGCUGGGACCAACCGAGAAUCACUGAAAUGCUGUCAGGAAUGCUGAUCCAGGAGACUUUCUGUCCUGAC